RNAcentral lists this unclassified non-coding RNA (196 nucleotides) under plant metagenome. Its description in RNAcentral is "partial contains small subunit ribosomal RNA, internal transcribed spacer 1, and 5.8S ribosomal RNA". The record is from RNAcentral.
UCUCCGUUGGUGAACCAGCGGAGGGAUCAUUACCGAGUUUACAACUCCCAAACCCCUGUGAACAUACCUAUCGUUGCCUCGGCGGUGCCCGCUCCGGCGGCCCGCCAGAGGACCCCCAAACUCUUGUUUAUACAGUAUCUUCUGAGUAACACGAUUAAAUAAAUCAAAACUUUCAACAACGGAUCUCUUGGUUCUG